UACGUAUGGUGCAAGCGUUAUCCGGAUUUACUGGGUGUAAAGGGAGCGCAGGCGGUCCUGCAAGUCUGGUGUGAAAGCCCGGGGCUCAACCCCGGGACUGCACUGGAAACUGUAGGACUGGAGUGUCGGAGGGGUAAGCGGAAUUCCUGGUGUAGCGGUGAAAUGCGUAGAUAUCAGGAGGAACACCGGUGGCGAAGGCGGCUUACUGGACGAUGACUGACGCUGAGGCUCGAAAGCGUGGGGAGCAA
RNAcentral lists this ribosomal RNA (248 nucleotides) under uncultured Roseburia sp. RNAcentral describes it as "partial 16S ribosomal RNA". It matches the Rfam family "Bacterial small subunit ribosomal RNA", at positions 524 to 771 of the family's 1533-position model. Lineage: Bacteria; Bacillati; Bacillota; Clostridia; Lachnospirales; Lachnospiraceae. The record is from RNAcentral.